CCUACGGGAGGCAGCAGUGAGGAAUAUUGGUCAAUGGGCGCGAGCCUGAACCAGCCAAGUAGCGUGAAGGAUGACUGCCCUACGGGUUGUAAACUUCUUUUAUAAAGGACUAAAGUGAGGCACGUGUGCCUUUUUGUAUGUACUUAAUGAUUAAGGACCGGCUAAAUCCGUGCCAUCAGCCGCGGUAAUACGGAGGAUCCGAGCGUUAUCCGGAUUUUUUGGGUUUAAAGGGAGCGUGGAUGGGUUGUAAAGUCAGUGGUGACAGUCUGCGGCUCAACCGUAAAAUUGCAAUUGAUACUGGCAGCCUGGAGUACAGUUGAGGUAGGCGGAAUGCGUGGUGUAGCGGUGAAAUGCUUAGAUAUCACGAAGAACUCCGAUUGCGAAGGCAGCCUACUAAACUGCCACUGACGUUGAUGCUCGAAAGUGUGGGUAUCAAACAGGAUUAGAUACCCCAGUAGUC
This 460-nucleotide ribosomal RNA is filed under the name uncultured bacterium. RNAcentral's name for it is "partial 16S ribosomal RNA". It matches the Rfam family "Bacterial small subunit ribosomal RNA", at positions 338 to 795 of the family's 1533-position model. The record is from RNAcentral.